CGCCCCCCGCGGAUCUGCAUAAUCGGGUUAGCGGCCGCGCUCCCUCCCGCUCCCGCCGCCGCCGCCGCCGCGCGCGAUUCUCUCGCUGUCACUUAGGGAGGCUCAGCGCGAUUUGCAGCCUAAUCCCCCGGGAUCGCUCGGCCGCCGCUCCCCGAGGGGCCGCCAGAUUGUUCCCUUCAUAAUUGAUUGACUCUAUUUGCCGGAUUGAGGACUUCAAAGCGCCGGCGGCGCGGGGGCGCCUGGGAAGGAGCGGGGCCCGCGGCGGGUCGGCCGGCCUGGCCCGGCGAGGCCCCUGCCCCGGCGGGCGCCGUCCUCCCCGCGGCCGGCCGGGCCGGGAGCCGGGAGGCGGGGCAGGAAAUCCGCCCUUGAGGACGAGGGUGGCGGCGGCGACGCCGACGAGGUUGAUCACGUCGUGACUGCCCUCGGCGGCCGGCGGUGAGGUCUGGGCCGGCUCGGUGCUCAGCGCUCCCCUAGUCCGGGCUUUAAACCCCCGCUCAUGACCUGAAAGCCUGCAGAGUGUGAACAGCCAUCCGCCUCCCCCAAAUGACAGGAAACGACCUGCUACCUGCUCAGAUGAAGCUCUCAGACCAGGUGCUUUCUCUCUCCUCCAUCAGCCCCGUCUAGACAGAAUCUGCCUCCUCUUUCAGGCCAGGAUCUCCAGACGGGGUCUCUCUUCACGCUCAGUCUGCUGUUCAGCCUAUACCACUGAAACCAAAAGGGCCAAGGAUUAAUCCCAGGGGAAGGACAGCUGCGCUUCUGGGCUGCAGGCAUCUAGGUCAGGAGCUCCUGUAUCCAGACCCGUCACUGAUCAACCUAAUCUUCUCUCCCUGAACUUGAGACUUAAAAAGGAAAGGGAAGGGUGAGACUUCUCAGAGAGAUGUGGGAGGGAUUGUGCGGGGGGCUUAUGGGGAGUGCUCUGGGGAACAAUACCCAUGAAAACGUGGGGGACAGGGCUGGGCAGAGGGAGGGGUCGCACUGUGGGGAAGUUGCCAGAGCAGCCUCAGCCAAUCCCACAGGAAGCUCUGGCACUGGAAUGUUCUUUCAGAGUCACCCCAGACGGAGGGGAAGAGGCCAGAGCUUUGUACUCCUGCGUCGACCAGUCACCCUGUGGACUGCCUCCAGGGAGAGGGCAUAACCCUGGGGGAGGCAGCCAAGGGCAAUACUCCAGGGAGGAACUUGACCAUGAGCCCUCAGAAGACAACACUCUGGCAGCUGCAGGAACAAGUGCCUCGGCCCUCAAGGAGGGUCCAGGCGGCACUGAAGCAUCCACUGUGGGCUCUGGGUAGCACAGAUGGAUGGGGCACCAGGAGUCUCCGUGGGGUGGCUCAGUUCAUGGACAUGCAGGUAGCUAUGAAAGUUGAUGAGCAUGGCCAGCCAGACAGUUCCAGUGAGCACAGCAGAGUAAGUUUGGGGGCCACAUGAAGGGCAGGCACAAUGCUGGGGACAAGGCAGAGAGAGUUAGGGGACACCAGUGGACCAAAAGUUAGGAGGAGAGGGUGGGGGCAAGGGGCAGUCUUCUGCCUUCUGCUCCAGCCUGGGUCCAGGCCAGGGCCUGGUGGGCCCAGCAGGUCUGAGCAGCCCGAGUGGUUGGGAGGAAGGCCCCCCUCAGCACUGCCAGCUCCUCAGUCGAUAAGCAGGAUUAGCCUCCUCUUCCUCAGGAGGAGGGGCUCGGCUCCUGCAUCAGCCACCAGCUCUGGCCCUAAUCCCCCUCGCUUUCUAAUCCACCCACGACUUUCUUAGGCAUUAACGUUGGGCUCUCAGCUCCCUAAGCACCACCCUGAAGAUGGGAGCCAGGCUCUGAAGGGAAUUAGGCCAGCCUCAGAGGACAGCUCUGCAGACAACUGGAGGGAGGCUGAGAAGCACCCCCACCCACCCCGCCUCUCCUCCUCUGCAGGCCACCCCACCCCAGACAGGGUCCUGGGUCUCAUGGGGUCUCUUCCAGCUAAAGCCAGGCAAGGAGGGGGUGCAGGGAGGGGGUGCAGAGAGGGGCUGAAGAAAGGGAUCCCCUCAGCUGUGUGUGAAGUCUAGGGGUGGUGCAGACGUGGAGAUGAGGGUAACCAUAGCCUGGCAAAGGCAGAGAGACAGGAGAGUUCAGGACACGCUGUGCCAUGUGAGAGCCCAGAAGGCCAAACUUAGGCCAGGUUGUGUAGGAUCUUGAGAUCCCCCUGCUGAGGAAUUUGGACUUCCCUUUGGGAAUAGAAAGGCUCCUUGGUGGGAAAGCGGUAGUAUUUAGAGCAGCGGCUUUGGUGCCUGUGAAGCACUCAGGGAGAGGGGCAGAGACUGGGGGUGAGCAGGUUCUUCUCACCCGAGGCAGGCAAUGAGACCCUAGAGGACACUCGCCCAAGGUCACCCAGCACCAUCUCCCAGUGCGGUGGGACAGCACAGCGCCCCCAGUGGUGGCAGGGGCGGUUGCAGCCCCAGCCUGCUCAGGGGCUCCCUGUGGAACUGUGAAGGAACACCCUGGGGUGCCCUGGAGAGGAGAGAUGGAGAAACAGCCCAUUAACUGUUGGCAGCUGUCCUACCAGGCCUCUUCGUUGUUCAUUAUUCCAAUUAUUCAAAACAGAGUGCAGCAACCAGGCCGCAGUCCAGGGACAGAAGAAGUGACCUUCACCUGCCCCAUGACAUCUCCCUCCAUCAACCCCACUCCUAGAUUCGUCAGAAUGACCACACACAGGCUACUUUCCUCUGAGUGGGGCCCCAGCCACCCUGGGCCUCCCAGUGGCCAGAGGCUGUCCCUGUGUCUGGCUCACCACCUCCAAGCAGUCUUCCUAAAGACACCCUGCUACUGCUCAGACCCCAGUCACCCAGUGAAUCUUGACCUUGGACAUUGAAGAAGCCCCGACCCUGGCUCCAGCUGAGCCCUGCCUCUGGCCCCUGGCUGAGUCUGCAGGAGCCUGAGCCUCCUACCAGACCACAGGGACUGAGCAAGUGAGAGGGGGCGGUGCAGCGAUGAGGCUGGAGAGCGUGGACCCCUCGGUGUAGUGUAUAUCCCCUGCUGGAGGGCAGUCAGGGCCCAGUCAGGCCCUUCAUGGGUGAAAUGCCUUUCUCUAUUGGAACGGCAGCUCUUCCACCGGGAUUCUAAAUCUGCCAGACGGACAGCAACCUGAGAUCAUCAGCCCACCUCAAUGUCCAUCUCAACAUCAGUCCCCGCACACCAAGGAUCUCCUGGAAAUGCUGUCUCCCCAAAACCACCUGAGUCUUCCUGGCUCUGCUCUCUUCCAAAGACCAGUCCUGGGAAAUCCAAAAGCUAUUGUGAAGACAGCAGGAGGGGAGGAGGGGGCCUCCCACUAGCCGUGAGAAGCCCAGAUCUACAGAAGCCUCCAAUUCUGAAGGGUGAGGCGCAGCUCCUUGGCAGCCCCCUCUCAACUGUGGGAACUCUGAAACUGCCAUCCACACAUGUCCUCACGGGGUCCUAGCAGAGUGGUACUACGCAGGGAACAUCCCAGUCUGUCUGCCUCCGAGUGUGUGAGCUGCUGGAGGGAGGAAUACCAGGUGUCUGGUUCCCCUCAAGCCCACCACUGGCAUGUAGAGGCCCACAGGAAUGUGAGUAGAAGGGAAGGACUGGCAUCAAGUCCCAGGGUUGGGACAGGGAGCAGAGCUAGGUGACCUGACCCCACCCCAGAGCCAGCACCACCCCCCUGCCCGGGGAGGAGACAACCCCCUCCACCCACACCGGCCCCCCCAAAGGCUCCCUGCAGGCCAGGACUUUUUUUGGAGGAGGCGGUAACAGAGGGCUGAGGUCUCUGGGCUGCGUCUCUCCCCCUGCUCUGCUCCAGCCUCCGUCUUCUGCUCGCUCUCUUUCUCUCUCAAGCUCUCAAUCUCUCCCGGUGUCUCUCUGCUGCUUUCUCUCCCUCCUUCCCUGCCUCUCUCUCCCUGAGUCAUUUGCAGAGCGGAGAUGGCCUAGUCCAUCUGGGAGCGAGAGCUCGGCUGCUGACGGAGGCACAGGUAAUAGCCGAGUGGAGGAGAGAGACGUGGAAAUUUAUGACAUUGAAAAUGACUGAGAGAGAGAGAGUGUGUGUGUGAGAGUGGGAGGAGAGCAUGGGGUGGGCACGAAGGGACAGAAAGGGAGUGCUCGCACUCUCUCAAACACACACACUCACAGGCUCACACUCCUGCCCUCCCCUCCCCUCCCCUCCCCUCCAACCUUGCAGAGAGGAGAGGACAUGGGGAGAGGGCUGCCAGUGCAGACAGAGGCAGGCAGGCAGACAGUGGGUAGGGGUAGGACAGAUUGGGCAAAGGGAAGGAGGGGGAAGAACAGCAGGGAGACCAGGAGACAGCGAGAUGGGGACUUCUGGGGCAGAGACAAGCAGUGUUUGCCCGUGGUGUCGCUUGUCCCUGUUGUGGUCCCCACUUUAGGAGCUCUUAUCUGAGGGCAGGGGUGUCCCCAUGGCAUAUGGCAGCAAGGAGUCUGGGGCCUGAGCUAGAGCUGGAGAUUAUUUAGGGCUGAGUCUCAGAAAAGGCCAGAAUCUGCUGCAGGCUGCACAGAAGGCCUCUGUCCUCUUAGCAUGGCUGUCUCCCCAACUCCCCAGCUGGGUGAGGGGGGAAAGAAAUGGAUGGACUAGCCCUGGAGACCACUCAGCUCCUCCCUCUGACCAUGGGAGGCAGGCCAGAAUGACAGGAGAAUCUGUUUCUUUGGGGGUGUUAAGCCCCUAAUCCCUUCUGCCCUAGCCACUCCUAGACCACUCCUACCCCCUAAAUGGCACUGCUGGAGACAGGAGUAAUUAGACAGCCUUCAGAAAACUAAGCCCCCACCCAACAGCCACCCAGACCCAGCAGGCUACACUCCAUUCCCAUCCUUGGCUUCUGCUACUCCUGGUUCUAAUGCUGCUGAGUCUCUUCCCAGCAGGAGACCUUAACCCUGGGUGCAGCUCUUUGCUCAGAUUCCUUUCUUCUCUGGGCUGAAGAUCCCUCAUCUGUAAAAUGCCUAUACCCAUCCCCCUUGGGCCAGAGAAGCAGUGCCAAGGCUCAGGGUAGACUAUAGUCUACCUAAGUCUAGAGACUCUUCUCCCUUGGAAAGUGUAGGUCAUCCUAGCUCUAAAGGUGCUCUCAGCAGUUCUGGCUGACUUUGUGGGUGAAGGUGGAGGAGACAGAACUCCUAGGCAUUCCCCCUGCACCCCCCUCACCCAACACACAGCUGUCUUCCAAAGAAGCCAAUGUAUCAGGUACUCCAAGGGCAGAAUCUUCCAUGCCUUGGUAUCGACAGAAGGCUGAGAUCACACAGCUGAGAAAGUCUAAGCCAAGCCCUGGUCUACCUGCCCAGGCCAUGCACCUGGCCCCUUGUCCUGCCAAAUGUGGGCAAGACAGGUGCAUUAGGGCUCUGAGAGACCUUGCCCACCAUCUCCAGCAGCUUGGAGCCCAACUCUGAACAGGUGUCCAGAUUUCCCCAAAGUGAAGAUCAUUUCCCAUUUCACAGCCCUGCCCCCAACUCCCUGCCAGCCUUACACUGAGGCCCCUUCCUCUCUCCUCUCUUCUUCCUUCCCUGCUCUGUAGCCCUCUCUGCUGGAAAACUUCCUUGGGUUAACCCCUCCUGGACCAGGGCAUCUGAAAUGCGGUAAUUGAAAGCAUAAGCUUUAGGGCCAGAAAGGCCCCACAUUACAGUUCUGCCCUUGGGUUGGAUGACCUUGGGCUCUUUAUUUAAUGUCUCUGAGCCUCAUUUCCUUAUCUGGCAAGACCAAGUGAAGUCGCUCAGUCAUGCCCGACUCUUUGCGACCCCAUGGA
Long non-coding RNA from Bubalus bubalis (water buffalo), 5718 nucleotides. RefSeq lists it as uncharacterized. The transcript is spliced from 6 exons. Lineage: Eukaryota; Metazoa; Chordata; Mammalia; Artiodactyla; Bovidae. The record is from RefSeq and is a predicted model, not a curated record.